UGGGGAAUAUUGCACAAUGGGCGAAGCCUGAUGCAGCAACGCCGCGUGAGUGAUGAAGGCCUUCGGGUUUGUAAAGCUCUGUCUUUUGGGACGAUAAUGACGGUACCAAAGGAGGAAGCCACGGCUAACUACGUGCCAGCAGCCGCGGUAAUACGUAGGUGGCAAGCGUUGUCCGGAUUUACUGGGCGUAAAGGAUGCGUAGGCGGAUUUUUAAGUGAGAUGUGAAAUACCCGGGCUUAACUUGGGUGCUGCAUUUCAAACUGGGAAUCUAGAGUGCGGGAGAGGAGAAUGGAAUUCCUAGUGUAGCGGUGAAAAGUGCGUAGAGAUUAGGAAGAACACCAGUGGCGAAGGCGAUUCUCUGGACCGUAACUGACGCUGAGGCAUGAAAGCGUGGGUAGCAAACAGGAUUAGAUACCCUGGUAGUCCACGCCGUAAAACGAUGAGUACUAGGUGUAGGAGGUAUCGACCCCUUCUGUGCCGCAGUUAAACACAAUAAAGUACUCCGCCUGGGGAAGUACGAUCGCAAGAUUAAAAACUC
RNAcentral lists this ribosomal RNA (538 nucleotides) under uncultured bacterium. Its description in RNAcentral is "partial 16S ribosomal RNA". It matches the Rfam family "Bacterial small subunit ribosomal RNA", at positions 355 to 902 of the family's 1533-position model. The record is from RNAcentral.